UUCAAAAAAGUAGGCAAGUACUUUGCUUUAUUGACAUCAAAUGGAACUUCUUGUCCCUCACGCAGUCCACACAACAGUAAAGGCACAAUGAGGCAUAUUAAAACAUAGCCAGUUUCAACAGCUUGGAUAUUUCCUGCCAUGGAAAAGUAUCCUGCCCACAGAUUCACAUUAACAUACAUGGUACAUUAAUAUCAAUCUCUAUCAUAUACCAGGCCACGGUACAUGUUUGCACGCAGGGUCACGUUCUGCAACAAACUUAUUCUAAUAACAGUAUUCAGAAGGCACCCUAUGGGACACAGGUGUCCGUUGCGGGCAGCCAGGUGCAGAGCGGUGUAGCCGUCUGAGGUCAUGGCCUCCUUGCCAGCGCCCCGAUGCAGGAGCAGCCUGGCAGUGCUCGUGUGCCCCGUCUCCGCGGCCACGUGCAGGGGUGUCUGUGCCAGCAGGCUGCAGACGUUGACGUC
Molecule: long non-coding RNA, 461 nt
Organism: Homo sapiens (human)
Lineage: Eukaryota; Metazoa; Chordata; Mammalia; Primates; Hominidae
Source: Ensembl